GGGCCCGUAGCUCAGCUUGGAUAGAGCGGCACCCUCCUAAGGUGAAGGUCGCGGGUUCAAAUUCGGUUUGAUCCGGUGAAAAUCCCGCCGGGCCCG
This 96-nucleotide transfer RNA is filed under the name Candidatus Micrarchaeum sp. AZ1. RNAcentral's name for it is "tRNA-Arg". It matches the Rfam family "tRNA". From Rfam's summary of the family: Transfer RNA (tRNA) molecules are approximately 80 nucleotides in length. Lineage: Archaea; Nanobdellati; Microcaldota; Candidatus Micrarchaeia; Candidatus Micrarchaeales; Candidatus Micrarchaeaceae. RNAcentral also lists the same sequence under 2 other names. The record is from RNAcentral.